RNAcentral lists this ribosomal RNA (257 nucleotides) under Salmonella enterica. Its description in RNAcentral is "partial 16S ribosomal RNA". It matches the Rfam family "Bacterial small subunit ribosomal RNA", at positions 846 to 1102 of the family's 1533-position model. RNAcentral also lists the same sequence under 1 other name. Lineage: Bacteria; Pseudomonadati; Pseudomonadota; Gammaproteobacteria; Enterobacterales; Enterobacteriaceae. The record is from RNAcentral.
CCGGAGCUAACGCGUUAAGUAGACCGCCUGGGGAGUACGGCCGCAAGGUUAAAACUCAAAUGAAUUGACGGGGGCCCGCACAAGCGGUGGAGCAUGUGGUUUAAUUCGAUGCAACGCGAAGAACCUUACCUGGUCUUGACAUCCACAGAACUUUCCAGAGAUGGAUUGGUGCCUUCGGGAACUGUGAGACAGGUGCUGCAUGGCUGUCGUCAGCUCGUGUUGUGAAAUGUUGGGUUAAGUCCCGCAACGAGCGCAAC